GAAAGUACCUGUUACAGAGAAUUCCACAAACAGGCAGAAAGAAAAAAACCCUAUCUCUGCCUAAUACAGUUCAUGGUAACAGACCAUAAUUCCCCCCACCUCACCCCCAUGUGUAUUUCCUAGAUGAAUGAAAGAAAGAAAGAAAGAAAGAAAGAAAGAAAGAAAGAAAGAAAACUCACAUAUUUGAUAAGCUGUAAUUUAAGAACCAGCAUAAUUCCUAAAUAUACUUUCAGUCGGGGAGCUGGGGUGGGUAUAUUUUAAAAAAUGAUCAAGAAAUUACUGAGAGGACUGUCUUCCUUAUGGUUCGUGUGGUACAGUGGUUGAACUCACAGAAACUGCAGCCAGAAUGCUUCGGUUUUAAUUCAGACUCCACUAUCAGUCAUCAGCAUGAACCUCAGCAGGUUAUCCUCAGUUUCCUCACCUGUCAUGUUGGUACCAACCUCACAGAGUUAAAUGGUUGCACAAAAGUGUGAAUGUGGAGCACUUAGGACAGAAUCCAGAGCUCUUAUUAUGUCCUCAUCACCUUGAGUUUUGGGGGGUUCUGAUUCAGCAAACAUUUCCUGAGUGUUGACUGUACAUUGCUGAAGAGUCACAGAACAUAUCAUGAAAGACUCUCCUCUGAGAACCUCAGCACCCACCCCCCACCCCAGUGUUUUGCAUCCCCCACCCUUCUCCUGACAUGUCAUGACUAUUUGGCCAGCACAGUGCACAAUGCAACCCUUAUUCCUUCAACUUCCCCUGACUCCACAGAACAUUCACCCAUUUACUGAGCUUCAAGUUUUCUGAAGGCUCUGAAUUGCCUCCUGACUGGGUAGUCCUCCUGCUUCCUCUGGGCACUCUUAUCUCCCCCCUGACGUCCUUACCCUCCUCCCCUGGGAAGCUGCACUCUUUGGGCACUCGAUUUCCUCUCAGUCAUACAUCAUAGAACACGUUAGUGUCCAUCUUGUUCACGCAUUUUUGAGUCUUAGGGUUUCUGACCGAAGUCGGUUGUUCCUCUUUUCAUCCACUGAUGGUUCCAGACAAAGUUCAUAAAGGAUGGCCUCCUCGUCAAUAGAACAUGAAAGGAUUUGCAGAAUAAUAUUGCUCUUACAAAAAUGUGUCUCAGGACCUAAUUGAGAUUCCAUUUUGACAAAAGAGAAAAAAAAUAAAAGAAGCCACGAAGUGACUGGAACAUGAGGUAAGAGUGAACACAAAGCUUAAGAAACCCCCCAUUUUCAUCUGGGGCUGAGGAGGCCGCAGGCGCAUUUGUAAUAUGAUGCCAAAGAAGACAGCACAACUUUCAUUUGCUCUUCUAGACUAAACUGACCAAACUCACUGACCAAACACGUAAAACCUCUUGAAACCUUGGUCUGUUCUGAGUAUUACUUCUGCCUCCUUAAGGAUCUUGGCUGUGGAGCUAGGCAGCCUGUUAAUGAACUAACAGAGCUUUGUAAACUGCUUAAGAGAUGUGGGUGGGCAAUUGGGACUCUUAGAGCAAAGACAAGAUGAUUAAAUAAAAGUCUUCCCUGAUUGGGAUAGAUCUACCUGCCUUGUCACUCCCUGAAUCCAAAGGAUUUUAAUGGAGAUGGCAGGAGUCUUUUUGAGAGAAAUGGGAUGAGGGGAGUCCCUCGGGGCCCAGGAGAGCAGUAGCCCAGCGCCUCUCUCUAGCAUGCAGGGAAGAGAAUCCUGCAGCCUGGGCAGUGAACAAGAGCUGAGGAAUAAAGACUGUGGAUGCCAACUAGACUAAGUACAAAGGGCAGCCCUUGCCGUGGUGGAUGAGUAUAACCGGAAGGAAAAGUCUUAAGUUUUGAAGCAACUCAUAAAGUCCGAUGUAAAUGGUAAAAGCUUGACUGCCACAUGAGUGAAGAUUCACCUCAAACAUACCCAAUUCAGAUACUCUGCAUGCCAUUGGCUGUGUGACAUAUUGCCCAAAUGACUGCCAGAUGUGUGUGUCUUCUACCAAGCAAACUGCUGAUACACUUACAGCGUGAGGUCUCUAAGCAGUUUCCUAGGAAACUGAGCCAUCAGCAGGGCAUUCUCACUGAGCACUCUCCAGAGGGGGAGACUCAAUACAUAGUUCCUUUUUUUCCUAAGUUCUCCUUUCCCUCCUCCUCUCUAUCCUACAACCCCUCACAUCAAAAAUGUCGAAAGAAUGGAUGAUCUAAUGAUACUAAAUAGGCAAUAUUACCACCUAUUAAUAGAAAGAAUGUAUUUGCUAAAUCUCAGUUUGGCCAUAUUGCCUGUCAGAUGAACCAACAAGAUAAGAGUUGUGGAAUUAUGCAUUUUCCAGAAAAAUCUAUGACCGGAGAUCCCAGAGUCAUUAUUCCAGUGUGUGGCAAGAUGAUGUGAGAAGAGUGAGUUAACAGGCUUUGGAUGUUCAUAGUGCAGAAGACUUGGAAAUACAUGAUCUUGAUAAUCUUCAUAAAAGUUUAGAAGAUGCUCACGGUAAAACAAUUCCCAGCAUCUCAAAACCUUGCUGAACAGAAGUGAUUGCAGUCCAGAGCGUCCUUUGAAGAUGGAGCAUUCUGCCAUUCGUGUAUGUUCCGAGAUCCUUUCCAGCCCUCAGAUGCCCUCUGGGCUGGGUGUCCCGCUGGCUGGAUGCCUCUGAAGGGCCUCCUAGGUGAAUCCUGCCUGGAAAGCUGAGCAUAACCAGGUCAGACGUGGGAGUUUCGAGUUUGGUAGGAAAUAAGGUUCUUUCUGUCCAGGCCAACCAUUGAAUUUGAGGUGAAGAAAUAACAUUGGUAAAGAAAAACAAAGAAUGGCUUCUGUGGCAGAGUCAUUUCUUGCAUUUCAGAUGUUGAUCACCAUUCUUGUGCAUUACGUAGGGCUUCUCUUUCUCCGCUUUCUUUGGCUGCUUUGCCUUCUCACAUUGCACACUUUUACUCCCUCUAGAAAACAGACCAGCUAAGAGACAUGAGCUAAACUCAAAUCUGAUCGUUGUGCUGCUAAUAAGCAGCUCUACUAACGAUUUUUUCCUGCUCCUGGAGUUCAGGGAGGGAGCAUUUCUUAUUAAUCUCUGCACUUCUUCCCGCCAGCACUUUACCCAGGUGUCUAAUGAUUGUCAGUGAUUGUUUACAGGUGGAUUAGAUCGAAGUGAAUAUUUUAUUUUGAUUUGCAGGACAGAGAUGGAGACAGUGCUCCAGCUUCUUUUGUGGGGGGAGUCCUGAGGCUCCUGGAACCUACAGAGAAAGUGGCUCUGCUUGCAGCUUUGCUCUGCCAUUGUGUUUUUCACACAUGGAAAGGGACACUUGAUCUGGGGGGUUCUGCCUGCCCACCCAGUGACGGGCUGGUGUUUUGUGUCCCCCAUCAUAGACAUGGGGCUCCCUCUGUGGCCCAAGCUCGGGCUCAUCUCUGACCCCCUGGGUCUACGUGCACCUUCAUCCCAUGGUCAACCUAGAGAUGUGUCUCUGUCACAAUCCUUAUGAAUCAUCACUUUCUCUCCAGCCCCUGUCAUAGCAUUUGUUGAUUUGAUGGGCCAGGCACAGAUGGCAGUUCUCACACACAUCUGGGCACUGCCUGAUUGAGAGCAGAGAGGCUGAGGAAAGCUACUCUCUCUGUCUUGCCAGGGAGAAUGAACAACUGUGAGCCUCGUGGAUCCAUGUCACAGGCAGAAGAAAGGCAGUUCAAUAGUAAGGAUUUGGGGUAAGGCAGGUGAUACGGCUACAAGGGAGAGAAUCUGCACUCCAAACCAAGAAGGACAUGAGUCUGAAGCAGACGGAUGCUUGGCUGGGAAGCUAGAGAAGGCAGGCAUGCUUCCGCCAACAGAAAAAUAACCAGGUUCUUCCUAAGUCAGUGGUUCUCACAGUUUUUAGGUUCAGGACUUUGUUAUUCUUUUAAAAAAUGAUUGAUGGCCCCAAAUACUUUAUGUGAGUUACAUCAAUUAAUAUUUACCAUAUUAGAAAUUAAAACUUCAAAAUUGAAAAAAUAAAUUACAGUUUAUUUCAAACAACGUGCCAAUUGUUUGUUAACAUAAUUUAUCUUUAUUAAAAAAAUUAUGUUUCCAAAAAAUAAUUAGUGAGAAUAGCGUCAUUGUUUGCUACAAAUCGCUUUAGCAUCUGGCUUCAUGAGGGACAGUUGGAUUCUCUUUUCUGUCUAUGGAUUCGAUCUGUUGCCAUAUCCUGUGUCUUGUAUCUUCUGGGAAACUCUACUGUACACUUAAGAAAGAAUGAGAUUGAACAAACCAAAUAAUGUCAUAGUGUUUUUAGGAAAAGAGUUUUGACCUUUCAGACCCCAGGGGGUAAGUUUUAGGGACUCCCAGGGUUCCCCAGACCAUCCUUUAAGAACUGCUUUCCCAGGUGUAAACUCCCAGAAACGUGCCUCUCUCUGUGUCUAACAUGUGGCCAUCUUUUACAAUGACAUCUCUGCAUUAGCAGAAAGUGGGUAAUGGCAAGCCAAGCGGAUAAUUCUUUUUAAAUCUUUUGCCCUUUGAACAGUGCAUGUGAACAUUCCACAAAGCAUCACAGAGGCAAGCGAGAAUAAGAUUGACGUUGACUGUCCUGUUGGACAGUCUGGACAAGUUCUUGCUCAUUGACUGGCAAACAAGAUAAUCCAGAUCAUGAGACAGUAUCCUCUCUGUGCUUUUCAAAAUGUGAAUCUCAAAUUGUAUGAGCGCCACUUGGCCUGGGCAGCACAUAUGUUUUUCCUCUCUACGAUCAUGGAAAGCUUUAUAAGACAGGAACACCUGCUCCACGGCCCCUCCGAGCUGUGUGUUUCCAGGACCCCAGGGCAGCUGAAAUCUGCUUUCCAAGUGACCAAUCACUGGGCAGUUUACUGACUUUUCUGGUACUUCCUGGGCAGCCCAGAUUCCUCUCACUUAAUAUUAACUCCCUUUUUCCUGAGCUAAUCAAGAUAGUGACAGAGCUGUGACACUAGCAAGAUGAGCAUGAAUGGAAAGUGAUGAUUUAUAGGGAUUGUGGUCUAGCUUUGCUCAGGCCAAGACUCUCCCUGCUAGGGAAGGGUGGUGGGUACAGCCAGUCUGCAGCCAACGUGCAGAUCACAGAAAGGCUCCAAAAAAAUGAAACAAAUCACAUUUUUAUGUUGUUCUAAAGCGGGAACAUCAUUUUUAAUGCGGCUAGGUAAAGAUUGAGUGGCGUUCUCUGUCCCUUGAGAAGACUAUGGUAGUCCUCCCCUUACCUGUGGUUUUGCUUUUGGAGGUUUCAGUGACCUGUGGUCAACCACGGGCCAGAAGCAGAUGCUUCACCUCUGACAUAUCAUCAGAGGUCAGUAGGAACCUAACUCUAUGUCACAGCGCCUACGUCAUUCCCCUCACUUCAUCUCAUCACAUAGCCAGUUAGCAUCUCACGUCAUCACAAGAAGGGUGAGUACAGCACAAUAUGAUAGCUGGAGAGAGAGAGAGAGGCCACAUUCACAUACGUUUUAUUACAGUACAUUGUUAUAAUGGUUCACUGUUAUUAUUAGCUAUUGUUAUCAUAAAUCAAACGUUGUCAUAGGUCUAUAUGUAUGGGAAAAACAUAGCAUAUAUUUCGGUACCUUCUGGGGUCUCCGGCAUCCACGGGAGGGUCUUAGAACAAUCCUGGUGGGUGCGGAGGGACUAGUGUACAUGCAUCAGUGCUCAGACCUCUCCAGAACUGGCAGGGGGAUGGUCUCGGUAGAUUCAGCUACAAUCACAGAAUUUUUUAGUGAGAAAGAGAGUUAGAAAUCACCCCUGUGUGGAGAAAAGGGUGUGUGUGUGUGUGUGUGUGUGUGUGUGUGUGUGAAUGUGCACAUGCACAUGCAUGUGUGUCUGGUUUGUGUAUGUGGGAGGCAGAUGCAGGGUAGGCCCAGUGCCCCCACAGCAAAGGCCCAUGGGUAUUGUCUUUCUUUGCCGUCCACCAAACCUAGCUGUGGAACUCAGGCAUCACACUAAGGAAGUGGAACUCUCCAUUUCCCAUUUUCUCUGUAAGCCCUGCUCCUUAGGUGAUUUCUUAACCUCUCUGGGUCUCCGUUUCCAUAGUUAGAGAAUGGAUGUAACAGUAACAUCUAUCUCAUAGGGUUGUUUUGAAAAUUGGAAGGCAGUAUAUGUAGAAGUUCCUUAAAGCACUGUAUAAUACACAAGAAGCACAAAAUAAAUGCUAGUUACCGUUUUUAUUAUUAUUAUUAUUAUUAUUAUUAUUUGACAUCUCUGAAACUCAGUUUUCUCACCUGCAAAGUAGAUUUUCCAGGUUAGUAUGGGGAUGAGUUAGAGAAUAUAUGGCUUAGAAAAAAAUGUCAGGUGCCAUUAAAAUAUGCUUGUUGACAGAACAAGUCAAUUUUUUGUUACCUGGGUAUUUUCCCAUGUGUAAGAUUCCAGUCCUUGAGCACUAACACAUGAUUUUCUGUGCUGUUUUGAAAAUAGGACAGUUAAUUUUGAUUAAGUGAAUAUAUGAUACCAGCCAGUGAAGAAACAGCAAUAUACUCUCAACCAGUAAUAACAGUGACUAUUUGUGCAGUGUUUACCCUAGGCCAGCACUGAGCUAAGUAUUUUACAUGUAAUAGAUUGUCUGUCUUCUCACUGCAGCUUCUUGAAGGAGGCGCUGCAGUUAUUCCCAGUUUGCAAAUGAGUAAAGCGAACCUGAUGGUUCCCCCAGGGCCCCUAGGGUAGCACAUAGCCCUGCCAGGACUGAACCCAGGCAGGCUGGUUCCCCAGUCAGUGUAGUUCCCCUUACCCAGUAUAGUAGCAGAGCUGGAGGUCCAGAAGGAGGUGAACAGGGAUUGCAGCCUCGUUUGCUCUCAGUAGGCCCCAACGUUGUGCUCUGCAAGUGAAAGAAUUAGUAGACCUUUUGUCCUCUUUAGAUAAGGUAAAAGGUAAGACGAUUUGUCUAUCAUCAGUAUUUAUGAAGAGAAGGUGCCUGCUUCUUAGAGGCGGAAAUUGUUGCCCAAACGUAACCCAGGGAUCGAGCCAAGAAUAGAUUCUUGAGUUGGGGGAGAUCAGGUGCAAGACUCAAAGAGCUCUGAGGAGAACCUGAGAUCCUAUUUAAAAAAAAAAAAAAAGGCAUGCAGAGUCUAAUCCAGGGCUGAGGCCCAGGCACGAGGUACGACCUUCACAGGUAAAGAGAUGCACUUUUAUUCAAGUUGAAUGGAGGCUCUCCUAGGGGCAUGGAUAUCAUUUCCCGGUCUCAGUCCAACACUAUUUGGUGGAACAAGAUGAUGCCAGAGCAGAGGCAUAGCUAGCUCUUUCUGGGGAGGCUGUAGAACUUAGGAAUAUAGAGUGGGAGCUUUAGAGUUAGAGAGCCCUGAAUUUAAAUCUCAGUUCUGCCAUUUAAAAGCUCUGUGGCUGUGCAAGUACUCCAUUCUCCAAGUGGUUGCAAAGAUUAAAUCACAAAAUUGCAUGUAAGUAAAUCCCUUGAUACUUUAGAAGCACCCAGUAAAUGAAAGCCAUUAACCUCAGUGUUACACUGGCUAGUUCCUGAAUUUUCCAGUAGUGUUGAGGGACUGUCCCUUAACCAUGGCUCGACUCCCACCUAGUUUAGGUCCUCAAAGGUGAUGCCAAUUUUAGGUACAGGGCCCCAUGGGUAGGGGACUGGUAUGGUUCUAAGCCUGCUUUCCUUACACAUGUAUUAAAUUCAGGAUGGUACUGGCCAGGCUUUUCUGGAACUGAACACUCGGCUUGAUCUUGCUCUAGCUCAGGCCUUAAACCAAUAUGCAGGAAGAGAUGUCCUAGGCAAACAGAGUCAUGCCCCGGGGUUAAGGGAUAAAGGUCAUGGUUUACCCUUUCAUGAUCUGGACAGUCAUCAAACCCUGUCACGUUCCUAAGAGCUCUGGUUAUACAUUUGAGGGGUCGCCCAUCUUUACACCAGAUGGGAGAGGUUACUAACUGAACAAGACCUAGGCCUGUUUGUGAAAUGAAGGGACCACGCUGUCUGCCUGAUGCAGGUCAUUAGCUGAGCAAGGAGCCCUGAGAAUUUUGGAACAUGCGUGCCCUUUACUUGUUAAUUGAAAGCUUGGGGCACAGAUACUGUUAGAGUACCGCUAGGGGCCAGAUUGUGUGCCCAGAGGAGAAGCCCUCUGUGUGUAGGAGACCAGAGCCCUCCUUGUGUUACCUGGGUAAGAGUUUUGCAGAUGGAGGCAGGCUGAUAUCGAACCCAAACUGGCAUGGAGGCUGUGCAAAGGUGGGCAGGAGGCAGUCGUCCACAGGGCAGGGAUCAGGGACCCACAAAUGUGCCGCAGCCCCAGUGUGAUCCAGGCAGCAGGAUUUGGGGUUUGGUCCCUAACAAGCAUUCCCUGGGCACUACCAGAGCCUUGAAAGGAGACAAACUGCUACUGCCCAUAAUGUGAGCCAGGGCCGAAAAUGGGGAGCCCCAGGAGCAGGGGCGAAUGUGUACAGAAUUUAGCCAUGGGGUGUCUCUCAAGCUCCCCCGGACUGCGCACCUGCCCACACAGGCUGGCAGUUUGGUCCUUGCAUUUGCGCAGGAUCUUCUCCUGGCAAUGUCUUCAAGAUGGGGCUUAGCUUCUGACAGGAACAUGUCUUCUUUGGGCACCCCACGUGGCAGCCCUCUUUUUCUUCUGGCUGCUGUAAGCCAGGAUGGAGUGAGCCUCUCAGCGCAAGUCUUGCCCACCCCCUGUGCUGGCUGCCUUUUAUCACGUGCAGUCAUACGCCACGCCGCUGAGAGCUCUGCUGGCACUCAUCCCUGCAGUCCUCCCAGCAGCCUAUGAGAUGGUGCUGUUACUGUGCCCAUUUUAUGGAUGGAGAAACUGAGGUGUUAGGGUUGCGUUAGGUAGGUCAGAUAGCUGGUGAGUGGCAGAGUGAGGAUGCACAGGAGGGCUUUCUUUCCCCAAAGUUCAAGCCCUACACCGCCCUUCCCUGUGACUUAUUCAGCUGAGCUGGAAUCUGAUUCUGUGACGUGUUCGGAUGCUUCUCAGAGUCGCAGCAUCAGGCUGGACUAGGGGUUUGCAACUUGGCUGCUCAUUGACCUAACCUGGGAAGCUUUAAAAAGUACUCCUGCCUCAGCUUUGUCACGAGAGAUUCUGAUUUCAGUUGGUCUGAGAGGCAGCCUGGGCAUUUUCUGGACCAAAGGUUGGCAAACUUUUUCCGUCAGGGGCCAGAUAGUACAUAUUUUAGGCCUUGCAGGGCCAUAUGGUCUCUGUCACAACUACUCAUCUCUGCCUUCAUAGAGCAAUAGCAGCAGUGGGCAUGGCUGCAUUCCAGUAAAACUUUAUUUACAAAAACAGGUGGCUGGCCAAAAUGGGCCUGUGAGCCCUGGUUUGCCAACGACUGAUCGAAUCAGGCUGCCUGUUGGUAGAUUCUACCCAUCACCAGUGAGAUUAGAAUUCAUGUUGCUUCCAAGGAUCUGGUGUCUGUGGUGUCUUGGGAGAGCCCCCCCCAGGCACCCCCAUUCCCUCUAGUCCACUGCCUUCCUGCAGUCUUGGUGGUGUUGGCCUGAUCUCUAUGACUGAGCUUUGACAAUGGCCUCUUUUUUGUGGAGGACCUUAACUCCCCUCCACACCACCCCUACCCCCCCGUCUGAAAUUCUGCCAUGAACCGUCACCUGUUUGGCGGGGGUCCUUACUGGCUUGCUAUCCCUUCCCCACGAGGAGUCAAAAGUGCCCCCCUUGCUCUUGGCUGGAGGCCAGGUCCUCGGUAAUUAGGAAGAUUAGCCGGAUCUGUGAGGCUGCCACCUGUUUGAUAGGAGAACUGCCCCUGUACGAGCACACCUCCCCUUGCUGGCUGUCCCUUGCCUUGGCUCCAUCCAGAGCAGCCCCUGGAGAGGUCUGGCCCCCACCUCUCCUCAUCCAGAGCCCCCUUCUUUCCCUUUCCAGCUGACCUUCCAUGUCUGCCUUGUGCCUGUAGCUUGAGUAAUAGCAUCAUUUUCGCCUGAAGAAUUCGGUCUAUCAAUUAACUGUUUUUAUGGAAUAUUAAUGUAGUAUUCUUGAAAUCGUGGGUCGUAAUUAUUUACAAAGUCAAAAGGGCAGCAGGAAAAUAAAGCUGGUGAAUUGGUUGUGGUGAUUGAAAUUAUGCCCCAGCCUCAUAAAAAUGUCAAAACCAAAGCAUGCCUUCCUUAUCUUCCCUCAUUUGUUAACUGUCCUUGGUAAUGGGGUGCACAGACACCACAAACAUGCCAGACUAAAAGAAAGCAAUUAAUAGAGAAGACACCUAAGAUAUUAACGGUUCACGUACACAAAGUGUCUACAAGUUAAUUGUUAAGACAUCAGAAAGCAUUUGUUCAACAAACUUUUAUUGAGACCCUAAUUUGUUCCAUGUGUCAGGGUACAGGAUAAGGCUCGGGUACUAACUAGAGAGAGACCAUAAUGUAAAAGAAAAACUACAAACCAUGUCAGAAGUACUGCAAUAGAAGCGUGCACACAGCUCUGUGGGAGUGAAUGUUGGAAGUCUGAGGUUUCAGGGAAAGCUUCUCCCUGGGGGUGAGAGGUGAGUUGGUUAAAUGAGGUUCUCCACCUGGGAAACAGGAGGAAAGGCAAUAUGGGCAGAGGGACCACAUGUCCUAGGCAGCAAUGGGGUGUGGUUGUGUGACAAGAGUGUGUGGUUCUUAGAAUAGUGUAGGAGUUGAGUCUGGAAAGCGGCAAAGGGAUGCAUAGGCCAGUCUGAGAGUUCAAGCUUUACUGGGUGACAGGAGCCAAAAAGCCUCUGUGCUUGUGUGUGUGACUUACUUCAGUUGUUUUCCACUAAUUUAAUUUAAUUCUAUCCAAUUUAAGUAACAAUAUAAAGCCCAACAUGAUGUAAACCUGCAGUAAAAGUCCUCAAAUGUUUGUUGAGUGAAUUAAUGAAAUCAUUCCCCAGAUUUCUCAUUUCAUACGUUAUUUCUGUGUCUUUUGUAUAUUUUUCUGGGUCUCUCACUCACAUUGCAGGGUGUCAUCACAUCUCAUCGAUGAUUCUGGGCUAUCUGAGUAUUUCUGAUUGAGGCACUAGGAAGCUGUAUGCAUGGGUGGUGUUGCCUUUGUAGGGCUUUUCUCUGGGGUUCCAAGGUGAGCCAUCCAUUUCACUAGGUGCCUCCCAUGUACCUAUUUGAAGAACUUUUCUCUGGGGUUGUUUGACAUUGGGAGACAAGAAUCCCCUCAUUGGGGGAACAUUAAGACUGCUAGUAUUUUAAUAGAAGACUUGUAAGUGGAGGAGUAAUUCACUCCGGUCUCUGUUUUAGAAUGUUCUUCUGGCAGCAGUGUAGGUCCCAAAUCAGUGUAUGGGGCUCGGAGGGAAGCAGAGGCCCUCACAGGAGGCUGUUGUAAAAAUAAAGAGGUCCUCAGCUAAGAAUGUGGAAGCUAGGAUGGAAAGGAUCAGGAAGUAUGAUUCCUCUUAGGAGACAGAAUUGAUAAUGAGGUCGAGUGAGGACGAGUUUUUUGUGAUUAAAAAUAGAGAAGCAGUAGUGCUUUAGAGGAGUGGGGAAGGUGCUGAGCUAAGGUUGGGGCUGUUGAGUUUGGGGAACAUACAGUUGGGGUUUCCCAUUGCCUUUGGGUGAUGAGGGUUGGAGGUGACAGUGAUACACAAGUGGUAACUACAUCCACAGAAGGGAUGUAGUUAACCCAAGCAGAGUGUGAGAAGGGAAGAGAACAAGUCUAAAGCAGAAACCCAGGGAACUGCAGGAUUUAAGGAAGCACGUGGAGGAAGAACCGGCAGAGCAGAGAGGCUCUCGGGUGGAUCAGUUAGGAUCGGGGCAGCGUUGAUUAGAGUGAGGCAACUGUUACAUCUGGAGCACAAGAUGUACCACUCGAUGAGCUACAGUGUGUUUUGAAUACCCUGGGAACCUUGCCAUUACUCCUACAUUUAGGACGUAAGGCUCCAUUCAUUUGUUCCUUCAUUAACUGAGUAUAAGACAAUCUGCCGGGCACUGGGAGUAGACCUGGUUCCUAUGCUUUAUUCCUCGCAGCUUAGCAAAGAAGACAGACAUACAGCAACACAUUUGGAAACAGAUGUUUUCAUGGAAAACAGUAACAGUUACACUUAAGGAUCAAGCCUUCAGAGCCUUAUCCACCCAGAGCCUCUAAGAGAUAUUUAUGAGUGGAGUGUUUUUACAUAGGGGGUGUGUCUGUGUCCUAAUCUCCCCUGAGUUCCACAGAUGGCCCUGGGGCCAGUGCCUCUUCCUGGUGUCAGCUCCUGGCACACGAACUGCGCUCUGCCCGGGGAUGCUGCCUAACAGAGAAGCGCCACCAGUUUCUGCUGUCUGGGCGCUGGGGGUGGCCGGAGUGGUGGGGACACUCUGGACUGCCUCCCAGCCUCCUACAUAAGCAGUGUGGAGACAGCCGUGUUGACUCUCAGUGGCAUGAUCGAACUGGUCGGAAUGGGAGCUAUGACCUCACCUGGUUUUCGCCGAGCACUGAAGAUGUAACUGAUAGUGUGUGUCAGCUCAUUUGUCCAUACAAGCCGUCGAACCACAUUCGUUACUACCGGUUCUUCUGUUUGUUUUGAAAACUCUUCAUGUUGGAGUUAGGAAUCUGGUAGAAGAAGGAACACUGAUUAAAUGGAUUUGUGGCUGUCACUUAUGGAGACAUCUCAGUUCAACUCAGAAAAGUUCUCCUGAGUACCUACUAUGUGCAGGGCAUGGGGCUGAAAUUUACUGUAUUUUGCAAGACUGCAGACAGCCACAGCUCUGUUGGCUGUUUACGUUGACUUUGACAGACUGAAAUUGCUUUGCUUUCUCCCUUUGCUAGCCUCUCAUGAUAGUUUUCAUCGGCAAACUAGAUUGCAGGAGCGAUUCACUUUGUGCAGUAGAAGGGUUCCUGAAAAUUGUUUUUGAAAAUGAAUUGUUAUCAAAUGAAUAAUGUUUUAACUGUACUGGGGGAUUUUUCUAUGAGUAGGAAGUUCUGAUGCUGAAUUGUUUUGAAAGGUGAAACAUUAUAUUCUGAUUUGUCUGCUUCGUAAAGGAGAAUUUUUAACCUAAAGGGAAAAUAAGUCAAAAUUUAAUAACUUCAGGAAUCUGAAACAAUAUCAAAUCAAAGCAACAACAACAAAAAACACCCAAUUUUUAGGGCUUAGGCGUAGUGAAUGCUAACAAAAAGAGCCAACGUUGUGUAGACCACAUGACAGAAUGUGAGCUGAUCUGAAAACGUAGUCUUAUUUGCAGGGCUAAUAAUAGCAGAUCUUGCCAGUGUAAAAAAAAAAAUGAGAAUAAUGAGAGAAGCAACAGAGAAAGAAGAAAAAGAUUGAGAGGGUGGAGUGGGGAAGCACGGAGAAAAGGAAAGAUAGCAGCAGGUGGUGGAGACACCCGAAGUGGCAGAGGAGAUUACAGCCAAAUGGUGAGAGUGGCAGCAAAGAGAACAGAACACAGAAGCCAGCUCUCCACGAAACAGCCCCUGCCUGCACACAGUGUCCAUAGGACAUCUGACUGCCCGUGGAUUCAGUCAUUCCUAAGGAUCCCGCAUAUUCCUGGCCAGGUUAUGUUCUAAGUGCUUUGUGGACUAACUCCUUUAAGCCUCCUAGCAACGUCUUGAGGAGUCCUCAUUCCCACUUGAU
Ailuropoda melanoleuca (giant panda) is the source of this 13357-nucleotide long non-coding RNA. RefSeq lists it as uncharacterized. The transcript is spliced from 3 exons. The record is from RefSeq and is a predicted model, not a curated record. NCBI's taxonomy places the organism in Eukaryota, Metazoa, Chordata, Mammalia, Carnivora, Ursidae.